CCCCUGUCCCCAGCCAGACCCCCAGGACUCCCAUGCCUCUGUCUCUUAUACACAUCUCAGCCCCCCCCCCCCUUGAAGUCUGCAGGGCUCAGCAAUCCUGCCACUUGGAGCACAUUGCAGGAUCAGAGCUUACACCAGAUUUCAAUUAACCUUCAUACAAGGGGGGCGCGGGGUGAUUGAUUGUGUCACCCUCUGGGUUUGUCAGAUAUCAGGCGCUGCUGUAAAAUGCACCUGUUUCCCCAGGCUUGUGGUAUCCAGGUUAAUAGACGGUGCCCAUCACCAUGGGCUCUGAGAGCAUUUCAGAGGACCCAAAAGGGGGAUUCCGUGUUGGGGAGGGUGGAUGAGGAGGGAGUGUUGUUAUUUCCAUUCCCCUAGCACCCAAGGGCCAGUCUGGGAGCUCCGCAGGGGCAGGUUUGCUCAGGCCUGGGGGAGCUGGGGGCUGGACGGCCGAGCCUGCUCCCCUCCUGCCCAGCGGAGAGAAGGACGCCAGAGGGGAACCGAGCAAGCAGCUUUUCCAACUCCGGCCCGCCUGCUCCCAACCGGCUCAGCCCUUCCUAGCAGCGACUUUCCCCCGGUCCCUAACGGUCUUCCAGCCUGGCUCAGCACUUUGCUCACACUCCCUUGCGCUGCGAUGUGCGCCCCCCGGCUGCUGUGUGCGCGGUGCAAGGGGCUGGCGGCCCCACUUCCACUCCGGCCGAGGCGAAGGAAACCUCCAUGCUAGAGCCAUAUCACAUCCAAUCCAGCAACAACUAACACCUCAAAACCUGGAACUGCUCUUUCUGCUGCCUGACUUUUGCCUCAGAUUGACAGAGGAGGCUUUUUAAAAACCAACUCCCCUGCCCCCCAUCCCAGCCACUUACCAAGUGAUUUGCUGUGAUGGAUUUCAGAUGGACAUGGUAGGUGCACACAACUGGAUCUUGUUUCAGCUCUUAAGUAAAUCUCAUCUUACAUUUAUUACUGGAUACUAAAGUAAAACAUUCCUCUACCCCUGCUAUAGCUUUACCUAUACAAUAACUACUGUAACACCUUUGCCCAAGUAAAAAUAGCUGCUUGGAAAAAAACUGAAUACAAAGAAACGUAUAUUCACUAAAAGCAAACUAUGGCAUAAUCCUGUUGUAUUGUUAGUGUGCCCUUCCUAGAAGUUCCUACUUCAUAACCAUAUUGCCCAGGUGAUGGCAAUCAGAACUGAUUUCACUUGAUCUUCAUCACUUUAUACAGGCUGAGGAUCUGGCCCUUGCUUUUCCAGGAGUGUGUACGUUUACUACAUGUAUUUGGAAGAGUUUCUUUCUUUCCAGUAACUCAAGGUGGCUUAGCAUAUUUUUGAAAAUGAAUAUUUGUGCACUUACACUCUAAUGUAGAGAUGUAUCCUUCCCCUUUGAAGUCAAAUGGGAGUUUUGCCAAAGAGUUGGAUGGGGUCAGGGUCAGGCUGUAGGUGAU
Molecule: long non-coding RNA, 1437 nt
Filed under: Gopherus agassizii (Agassiz's desert tortoise)
Lineage: Eukaryota; Metazoa; Chordata; Testudines; Testudinidae
Description: lncRNA (ENSGAGG00000012774.1)
Source: RNAcentral